Long non-coding RNA from Aquila chrysaetos chrysaetos, 466 nucleotides. RefSeq lists it as uncharacterized. The record is from RefSeq and is a predicted model, not a curated record. The transcript has 2 exons. Lineage: Eukaryota; Metazoa; Chordata; Aves; Accipitriformes; Accipitridae.
CUCCACAACUUGACCCGUGAACUUGGAGAGGAGGUUACGGUGAACCUGGCCGCAUAACCAUGUGAAGCUGGAAGGAGAGACAAGAACCACAAGCCAUCUUGAUUGUGCUGUGCAGCCUGCCUUGUCUGAGCAGCAGCAUCAUCAUCAAUAAAAUGAGCAUAGUUGAGAGAAUGAAAUGUAAUUACUCCCUGAGCUGACCGGGGCUCGAGCUGUGCAGCAGAGGAUACAGAGCAGCAUUGGACUUGAACCUGAGGUUAUUCUGUGUUGGCAAAACUCUGCCAUGGUUAUUCCUGCGUGACUUCAUUAGCUACGCUGGAUGUGCACAAGGAUUGCUGAGAGCCAGAUUUGGCUGUAGGUGUGUGCACUUUAAAUCUUGUUCUUGUCAUGUUUUGACAAAACUCCUGUGAAACUCAGUAGGACUGACAGCCUGAGCUGAUGCUAAGGGAAUAAAGACAGACAAUUUGCA